AUUAUCGUCGUCUUUUUUUUCUCUGGCGAAGGUAAGCCCAAUUAGCGCCUCCAGCAAAGAUCGUCAUCGUCAAAAAUCAUGAUCGUUGCUGGGUAGGUUCUUCAUCUGAGUGGGUUUCGAUUGGUGUAAAUCCAGUGCUCGAAUUCCGUUGUUCACUAUGCCUUGUUUUGUAUUAGUUGAGGGAUUGCUCGAUAGGGUUUCUACACCCACUAGCUGAGAUUUUCACUAUGUGCCCCAUUUUCCCUGGUGAAAGGUAAUCUAACUCUAUAACUGACAAAUACAAAUAGUUCUUGUGAUAGUGUUAACCAUUAAGCCUAAAAGCCUGCUAUUAGAAUGGUCAUUGCACAUAUUUAGUAGAAAAGUGAUAAUGACACCUCAUAGAUAGAAUGGUUGUUUUAUGUGAUGCCGUGGGAGUCAUCCCUUGUUAUUUACUCAUGAGUUGCUUAACUUUGUAGUGCAUUUGAAAUACAUUGUGCUGAAUUACCAUUCUAGGUUGGAGUUAAAUUGCAAAAUCUAAUUAGUCCCAUUUAAUGUGUUGAGCUAAAACUACUUGAGGAAGGUUGUCCUGCUACAUCUUAUAUUCCUCCUUUCUCUUAUGUGGCUUGUGAAAUAGAUCAGUCAUACAAGAUAUACUGUGUUCUUGGUACACUGGAUUGGACUACCUUUCCUGAAGCAAAUAACUUUGCUUUGCUUAUUAGUAUUAGUUAUUCAAAGAUUAUGCCUACCAAUCUCUCAAACCUCAUUCCAAAUGCUAGCUUGGAAGCUAUAGAUCUGAUAAAGCAACUUUGUUCCUGGGACCUACUAAGGAGACCAACUGCAAACCAAUGCUUGCUACAUCCAUUUUCUCAGGUAAUGUGUGAUCUGAU
Rhododendron vialii is the source of this 866-nucleotide long non-coding RNA. RefSeq lists it as uncharacterized. NCBI's taxonomy places the organism in Eukaryota, Viridiplantae, Streptophyta, Magnoliopsida, Ericales, Ericaceae. The record is from RefSeq and is a predicted model, not a curated record. The transcript has 3 exons.